GCAGAGGCCAGCUGGGGCCCCUUGCAGGAGCCCCCGCAGGGCCCGCCUGACCCAGCCCGAAGCAGCUGCCCCUCCAGGCCCCACCACAUCUGCAUCCUGGGAAAAUUCCCCCUGCACCUGCCUGUGGGCCCUCCCAGCACCCAACCAGCCUCACCUGAGCCCACACUCUCCUCUCAGAGUGGCUCCUUUUACCCCUCCCCAGGGGGAGGGCCCUCCCACUGAAAUAACUCAUUUGUCUGAAAAACAAGAGACACUAGUAAAUUCUCUAGCCCAGGGUCCAGUUCCGAGUUCCAUCCUCACUUCCAGGCAGCCUGAAGCCAGCCCUUCCUGCUCCUUCCCCCGCCUCGAACAGCUUCUCUUUUCACCAGGACGACGGGAGGACCCCUGAGGGACCCCUGCCUCCAUCCCUCGGGGCCGCUGCAACGGAGCCCCUGGCAAUAUCGGUCUAGGUGUGAGUGUCCCAGUGCAGAGCCCCCUGGGGCCUCCCUCCGGCCAGCCCUCCGCUCCUGGCCGUCAACCCCCAUGCAGCAGAGCCCCUCUUCGAUACCACAUUUUAUGAGCAGACGCAUCUGUGGGUCGUUUCUCCCAUGAUGUCGGCACCUACUCUUCUCCCAGAUUGGAUGAACAUGGAACCACACUCUGUCUUCCUCUCCCUGCCUGGACUUACUCGCCACAUUUAAGCCUUUAUUCAUUUGGAAGUUAUACUGGAGGGUGUAACAGUUUCCUAGGGCUACUCUAACAAAGGACUGUAAACCAGGUGGCUUAAAACAAUACGUACUGUCUUGCCUUUCUGGAUGAGCCCAAAAAUCAAGGCGUGGGCAGCGCUGGUUCCUCCAGGAGAUCCUGAGCGAGAAACCUUCCUGUGUCUCAUCUUGGCUUCUGGCGAUGCUUGCCUCUCCUUGGCUGCUAGCUGCACCACUCUGAUGUCUUUGGAGGCCUUCUCUGUCUCUGUGUCCUCCCCUCUUCUUAUGAAAACAUCAGAUACUGGAUUCAGGAUACAGACUCCGUGAGAUCUUUAAUUACAUCCGCCAAGACCUUAUUAUUAUUACUUUUUAACAUUUGUCUAUUCACUUUUGGCUGCAUUGGGCCUCAGCUGUGGCAUGCAGGAUCUUUACUGCGGCACACAAGAUUUUUCUCUGGUGUGUGGGCUUCUCCCUAGGUGUGGCUUGAGCUCCAGAGCACGGAGUGGCUCAGUAGUUGACGCACUUGGGCUCAGCUGCCCCACAGCAUGUGGGAUUUCAGUUCCCCAACUAGGGAUCGAACCUGCGUUCCCUGCAAUGGAAGGCGGAUUCUUAACCAAUGGGCCACCAGGGGAGUCCUAAGACCUGAUUUCUAAUCAAAGUCACAUUCUAAGGUUCUGGGUGGGACAUGAAUUUAGGGGGAAACCAAUCAACCCAGCACGGUGUGGGA
This is a long non-coding RNA of Bos taurus (domestic cattle), 1410 nucleotides long. Lineage: Eukaryota; Metazoa; Chordata; Mammalia; Artiodactyla; Bovidae. The record is from Ensembl.